This 253-nucleotide ribosomal RNA is filed under the name uncultured bacterium. RNAcentral's name for it is "partial 16S ribosomal RNA". It matches the Rfam family "Bacterial small subunit ribosomal RNA", at positions 524 to 776 of the family's 1533-position model. The record is from RNAcentral.
UACGAAGGGGGCUAGCGUUGCUCGGAAUUACUGGGCGUAAAGCGCACGUAGGCGGAUCGAUCAGUCAGGGGUGAAAUCCCAGAGCUCAACUCUGGAACUGCCUUUGAUACUGUCGAUCUGGAGUAUGGAAGAGGUGAGUGGAAUUCCGAGUGUAGAGGUGAAAUUCGUAGAUAUUCGGAGGAACACCAGUGGCGAAGGCGGCUCACUGGUCCGGUACUGACGCUGAGGUGCGAAAGCGUGGGGAGCAAACAGG